RNAcentral lists this non-coding RNA (30 nucleotides) under Mus musculus (house mouse). The record is from RNAcentral. Lineage: Eukaryota; Metazoa; Chordata; Mammalia; Rodentia; Muridae.
UGAAAAUGCAUCCAGGCCGUGACAGUGCUG